UGGGGAAUAUUGGGCAAUGGGCGAAAGCCUGACCCAGCGACGCCGCGUGCGGGAAGACGGUCUUCGGAUUGUAAACCGCUGUUGACAGGGAAGAAACAUGACGGUACCUGUCGAGGAAGUCACGGCUAACUACGUGCCAGCAGCCGCGGUAAUACGUAGGUGGCGAGCGUUAUCCGGAUUUACUGGGUGUAAAGGGUGUGUAGGCGGGAUGGCAAGUCAGAUGUGAAAUCCGGGGGCUCAACCCCCGGUCUGCAUUUGAAACUGCUGUUCUUGAGUGUCGGAGAGGUAAACGGAAUUCCCAGUGUAGCGGUGAAAUGCGUAGAUAUUGGGAGGAACACCAGUGGCGAAGGCGGUUUACUGGACGAUAACUGACGCUGAGACACGAAAGCGUGGGGAGCAAACAGG
This 405-nucleotide ribosomal RNA is filed under the name uncultured prokaryote. RNAcentral's name for it is "bacterial SSU rRNA". It matches the Rfam family "Bacterial small subunit ribosomal RNA", at positions 355 to 776 of the family's 1533-position model. The record is from RNAcentral. RNAcentral also lists the same sequence under 1 other name.